GGAGUCACGCCAGAAAUCUUACCCGGAGAGACAGCAGAAUGAAGGUCAAGCUGAAGACUUUACCAGACAAGCUGAGAGGUGGUGCAUGGCCGUCGCCAGCUCGUGCCGUGAGAUGUCCUGUUAAGUCAGGUAACGAGCGAGAUCCCUGCCUCUAGUUGCCACCAUUACUCUCAGGAGUAGUGGGGCGAAUUAGCGGGACCGCCGCAGUUAAUGCGGAGGAAGGAAGGGGCCACGGCAGGUCAGUAUGCCCCGAAACUCUGGGGCCACACGCGGGCUGCAAUGGUAGCGACAAUUGGUUUCGAAUCCGAAAGGAUGAGGUAAUCCACAAACGCUACCACAGUUAUGACUGAGGGCUGCAACUCGCCCUCACGAAUAUGGAAUCCCUAGUAACUGCGUGUCAUUAUCGCGCGGUGAAUACGUCCCUGCUCCUUGCACACACCGCCCGUCGUUUCAUUGAAGUGAGCUUUUAGCGAGGUGACGUCUGAUUGGCGUUAUCGAACUUGAGGUUCGUGACAAGGGAAAAGUCGUAACAAGGUGACCGUAGGGGAGCCUGCGGUCGGAUCA
RNAcentral lists this ribosomal RNA (564 nucleotides) under uncultured crenarchaeote. RNAcentral describes it as "bacterial SSU rRNA". It matches the Rfam family "Archaeal small subunit ribosomal RNA", at positions 908 to 1472 of the family's 1478-position model. Lineage: Archaea; Thermoproteati; Thermoproteota. The record is from RNAcentral.